GAUAGUAGUAAAUAUUCAAAGGAGAACUUCCAAGGCCGAAGUGGAGAAGGGUUGCAUGUGAAUAGCAGUUGAACGUGGAUCAGUCGGUCCUGAGAAAUAGGCAAGCGCCGCUCUGAAUGGACAGGCGAUGGCCUCGUUGCCCUCAGCCGAUGGAAAGGGAGUCCCGUUCAGAUCCCCGAAUCUGGAGCGGCGGAGGUGGACGCCGCCAAGCAUCCAGCGCAGUAAUGCGAAAGAUCCCAGAGAAGCUGGCGGAAGGCCCGGGGGAGAGUUCUUUUCUCCUUGUGAAGGGCAGGGCACCCUGGAAUUGGGUUGGCCUGGAGAGAGGGGUCCCUGCCUUGGAAAGCGUCACAGUUCCAGUGGCAUCUGAUGAGCUCUGGCUGGCCCUUGAAAAUGCGGGGAAGAGGGUGUAAAUCUCGCGCCAGGCUGUACCCAUAUCCGCAGCAUUCCUCCCUCUGAACUAAGACUUCUAGGCC
Non-coding RNA from Papio anubis (olive baboon), 473 nucleotides. The record is from Rfam. Lineage: Eukaryota; Metazoa; Chordata; Mammalia; Primates; Cercopithecidae.